Diabrotica virgifera virgifera (western corn rootworm) is the source of this 392-nucleotide long non-coding RNA. RefSeq lists it as uncharacterized. The record is from RefSeq and is a predicted model, not a curated record. Lineage: Eukaryota; Metazoa; Arthropoda; Insecta; Coleoptera; Chrysomelidae. The transcript has 2 exons.
UAGGUACCAUUGCCUUAGAAUCUACCAAUAUCGCUCAAAAUUAUUCUUCCAAAAAACGUACUCUUCCAUUGGCUUCAAUUUUUCGAACAAUAACUUUCGAAACAUAUGUGUAGAUUCGUAGUACCUAUUCGCAGGUGAAAUACACCUCGGUACGUAGGGGUACAAAUGGACGGGUUUUGGCCAGUACCCGCUUUCAUGCAUCAGUUUCUCCUCCUUUUAAUCGUAAUCUUGCGAAAUCCUCAAAAAUUAUGUCAUCGUCAUGAUUUUCCUCCUCCAGCUGAAUUAAGUUGGCAUCGACUGGUACGUCACUUCUGACGUCUUCACUGACACGCCUAGAAGGAGUGGCUGGCGGUAAAAUUUCCUCUUCUGGUUUAGGAUGCAUCAAAAUAAAA